UGCAGGCAUGACUGUAUGUUGCUUUGGAUAAAAGUGUCUGCUAAAUGGCAUAUA
Salmo salar (Atlantic salmon) is the source of this 54-nucleotide non-coding RNA. NCBI's taxonomy places the organism in Eukaryota, Metazoa, Chordata, Actinopteri, Salmoniformes, Salmonidae. The record is from Rfam.